RNAcentral lists this ribosomal RNA (460 nucleotides) under uncultured bacterium. Its description in RNAcentral is "partial 16S ribosomal RNA". It matches the Rfam family "Bacterial small subunit ribosomal RNA", at positions 338 to 795 of the family's 1533-position model. The record is from RNAcentral.
CCUACGGGUGGCUGCAGUGAGGAAUAUUGGUCAAUGGGCGUAAGCCUGAACCAGCCAAGUCGCGUGAGGGAUGAAGGAUCUAUGGUUCGUAAACCUCUUUUAUAAGGGAAUAAAGUGUGGCACGUGUCCUAUUUUGUAUGUACUUUAUGAAUAAGGAUCGGCUAACUCCGUGCCAGCAGCCGCGGUAAUACGGAGGAUUCAAGCGUUAUCCGGAUUUAUUGGGUUUAAAGGGUGCGUAGGCGGUCGGUUAAGUUAGAGGUGAAAUCUUGAGGCUCAACUUCGGAAUUGCAAUUGAUACUGGUCGGCUAGAGAGUAGUUGCGGUAGGCGGAAUGCAUGGUGUAGCGGUGAAAUGCUUAGAGAUCAUACAGAACACCGAUUGCGAAGGCAGCUUACCAAGCUACGUCUGACGUUGAUGCACGAAAGCGUGGGGAGCAAACAGGAUUAGAUACCCCAGUAGUC